AGUGAACGCUGGCGGUAGGCCUAACACAUGCAAGUCGAACGGCAGCACAGUAAGAGCUUGCUCUUACGGGUGGCGAGUGGCGGACGGGUGAGGAAUACAUCGGAAUCUACUUUUUCGUGGGGGAUAACGUAGGGAAACUUACGCUAAUACCGCAUACGACCUACGGGUGAAAGCAGGGGAUCUUCGGACCUUGCGCGAUUGAAUGAGCCGAUGUCGGAUUAGCUAGUUGGCGGGGUAAAGGCCCACCAAGGCGACGAUCCGUAGCUGGUGUGAGAGGAUGGUCAGCCACACUGGAACUGAGACACGGUCCAGACUCCUACGGGAGGCAGCAGUGGGGAAUAUUGGACAAUGGGCGCAAGCCUGAUCCAGCCAUACCGCGUGGGUGAAGAAGGCCUUCGGGUUGUAAAGCCCUUUUGUUGGGAAAGAAAAGCAGCAGGUUAAUACCCCGCUGUUCUGACGGUACCCAAAGAAUAAGCACCGGCUAACUUCGUG
Molecule: ribosomal RNA, 492 nt
Filed under: uncultured bacterium
Lineage: Bacteria
Description: partial 16S ribosomal RNA
Rfam family: Bacterial small subunit ribosomal RNA
Source: RNAcentral